CAGCACCUCAAGUGGUCAGGAUGAUUAUUGGGCCUAAAGCAUCCGUAGCCGGCGCUGUAAGUUUUCGGUUAAAUCUGUACGCUCAACGUACAGGCUGCCGGGAAUACUGCAGCGCUAGGGAGUGGGAGAGGUAGACGGUACUCGGUAGGAAGGCGUAAAAUCCUUUGAUCUAUUGAUGACCACCUGUGGCGAAGGCGGCCUACCAGAACACGUCCGACGGUGAGGGAUGAAAGCUGGGGGAGCAAACCGGAUUAGAUACCCGAGUAGUCC
RNAcentral lists this ribosomal RNA (270 nucleotides) under uncultured archaeon. Its description in RNAcentral is "partial 16S ribosomal RNA". It matches the Rfam family "Archaeal small subunit ribosomal RNA", at positions 477 to 747 of the family's 1478-position model. The record is from RNAcentral.